This 219-nucleotide ribosomal RNA is filed under the name Salmonella enterica subsp. enterica serovar Kentucky. Its description in RNAcentral is "partial 23S ribosomal RNA". It matches the Rfam family "Bacterial large subunit ribosomal RNA", at positions 690 to 908 of the family's 2925-position model. Lineage: Bacteria; Pseudomonadati; Pseudomonadota; Gammaproteobacteria; Enterobacterales; Enterobacteriaceae. The record is from RNAcentral.
GGGCGUUAAGUUGCAGGGUAUAGACCCGAAACCCGGUGAUCUAGCCAUGGGCAGGUUGAAGGUUGGGUAACACUAACUGGAGGACCGAACCGACUAAUGUUGAAAAAUUAGCGGAUGACCUGUGGCUGGGGGUGAAAGGCCAAUCAAACCGGGAGAUAGCUGGUUCUCCCCGAAAGCUAUUUAGGUAGCGCCUCGUGAAUUCAUCUCCGGGGGUAGAGC